GAUGAAGAACGUAGCGAAAUGCGAUAAGUAGUGUGAAUUGCAGAAUUCAGUGAAUCAUCGAAUCUUUGAACGCACAUUGCGCCCCUUGGUAUUCCAUGGGGCAUGCCUGUUCGAGCGUCAUUUGUACCUUCAAGCUCUGCUUGGUGUUGGGUGUUUGUCUCGCCUCUGCGUGUAGACUCGCCUCAAAACAAUUGGCAGCCGGCGUAUUGAUUUCGGAGCGCAGUACAUCUCGCGCUUUGCACUCAUAACGACAGCGUCCAAAAGUACAUUUUACACUCUUGACCUCGGAUCAGGUAGGGAUACCCGCUGAACUUAAGCAUAUCAAUAAGCGGAGGA
RNAcentral lists this unclassified non-coding RNA (336 nucleotides) under soil metagenome. RNAcentral describes it as "partial contains 5.8S ribosomal RNA, internal transcribed spacer 2, and large subunit ribosomal RNA". The stretch from base 1 to 120 matches the Rfam family "5.8S ribosomal RNA", at positions 35 to 154 of the family's 154-position model. The record is from RNAcentral.